Molecule: non-coding RNA, 477 nt
Organism: Budorcas taxicolor (takin)
Lineage: Eukaryota; Metazoa; Chordata; Mammalia; Artiodactyla; Bovidae
Source: the annotation of a RefSeq genome assembly
AGGGUGUCCAUGUGGCUGAACUGUUUCCAGGAAAAACCUGUAGAAAGUAUCCUCCUGCUUCCUCAGAGCUCAGACAUGAAGUGCGCCCUCAUCUCAGUGCUUGUGAUGAUAUUCACACUUGGAGGAACAAGAGCCCAGGCAGUGACUCAGCCUGAGAGCCACAUCUCAGUGUCUAAAGGGGACCCCGUGCAGGUGAAGUGCAACUAUUCGUAUUCUGGGAGUCCUGUGCUAUUCUGGUAUGUCCAGUACCCCAGAGAGCGCCUCCAGUUACUCCUGAAACACACCUCCAGAGAGAGCAUCCAGGGUUUCACCGCUGAGCUCAGCCGGGCUGAGGCAUCCUUCCAUCUGAAAAAACCCUCGGCUCAGGAGGAAGACUCAGCUGUGUAUUACUGUGCUUUGGGUAACACAGUACCUGGCUUCACAGGAGAAGCAGAGCGCAAACCCCUUACAGAAAGCAUUUCCAUGUUCCCUGUUUGA